UACGUAGGGGGCAAGCGUUGUCCGGAAUCAUUGGGCGUAAAGCGCGCGUAGGCGGCCCGGUAAGUCCGCUGUAAAAGUCAAAGGCUCAACCUUUGAAUGCCGGUGGAUACUGUCGGGCUAGAGUCCGGAAGAGGCGAGUGGAAUUCCUGGUGUAGCGGUGGAAUGCGCAGAUAUCGUAAGGAAGACCAGUGGCGAAGGCGGGUCUCUGGACAGUUCCUGACGCUGAGGCACGAAGGUCAGGGGAGCAAACGGG
Molecule: ribosomal RNA, 253 nt
Filed under: uncultured bacterium
Lineage: Bacteria
Description: partial 16S ribosomal RNA
Rfam family: Bacterial small subunit ribosomal RNA
Source: RNAcentral